RNAcentral lists this non-coding RNA (181 nucleotides) under Desulfobacteraceae bacterium. Its description in RNAcentral is "6S RNA". It matches the Rfam family "6S / SsrS RNA". Rfam says of the family: E. coli 6S RNA was the first non coding RNA to be sequenced, but its function was unknown until recently. It consists of 184 nucleotides that fold into an extended hairpin structure with a large single-stranded internal bulge. Lineage: Bacteria; Pseudomonadati; Thermodesulfobacteriota; Desulfobacteria; Desulfobacterales; Desulfobacteraceae. The record is from RNAcentral.
AUACCCCUGCCGUGUUCGUGUUUGGGAGACGUUCUUUGUCCCAACAGCAUUUUAAAGGGAGCUUUCUCUAGUUUUGGUGUGCAUGUUCUGCUUGUACAGAAAAGCCUAAAGAAGCUAUAAGGCACCCACCUUUUUAUUUUGGUUCAAAGACACUCUCACACGGCACAGAGGUGGGGGUUCC